AUAUAUAUACAUCAGUUGGUUAGAGCGUCGUGCUAAUAACGCGAAGGACGCGGGUUCGAACCCCGGUUUACAGG
This 74-nucleotide transfer RNA is filed under the name Heliconius melpomene (postman butterfly). Its description in RNAcentral is "tRNA HMEL010816". Lineage: Eukaryota; Metazoa; Arthropoda; Insecta; Lepidoptera; Nymphalidae. The record is from RNAcentral.